GGUGCAGUGGUUCAUCACCAAGAUUAAAUAAAGAGCUGACCGACAGGUGGACAGUCAUCCCGACGUGAGAGGAUCCUCUCCACCCGUCCUCCCUGGCGCUCUCUCUCUCUCUCUCUCUCAGAAUGGAAAUGUGAGACGCAGUGAGACGAGGCCGGUGACUACGUUACUCCAACGGGCCAAUCAGAGCGUGGCACAUCUGGAGGAAUCUGUCUGCAGGCCCAGCUGGAAGCACUACAGGAGACAGCAGAGGAGAGGAGAGGAGGAACAUGUGAGAUUCAAGAUGGCUGAGGGAUUAAAUGAAAUAAAAGGACGUUGAAAGGAAUACAUGUUGUUUGUCGUUUAAUUUAGCUGACCUCACCGAAAAAGCACGGCUGAAGGAGCAAUUCGCUUUGAUGGCAUUUAACAUUUAGCUGUGACCAAUGUUGAACUGGGCGAUAGGAGUGACACAG
Molecule: long non-coding RNA, 449 nt
Organism: Gasterosteus aculeatus aculeatus (three-spined stickleback)
Lineage: Eukaryota; Metazoa; Chordata; Actinopteri; Perciformes; Gasterosteidae
Source: Ensembl